RNAcentral lists this ribosomal RNA (468 nucleotides) under uncultured bacterium. Its description in RNAcentral is "partial 16S ribosomal RNA". It matches the Rfam family "Bacterial small subunit ribosomal RNA", at positions 28 to 507 of the family's 1533-position model. The record is from RNAcentral.
GACGAACGCUGGCGGCGUGCUUAAUACAUGCAAGUCGAACGGAAAGGCCCUGCUUUUGUUGGGUGCUCGAUUGGCGAACGGGUGUGUGACACGUGAGUAUCAUGCACUUGAAUUUGGGAUAAAUUCUGGAAACUGGGGAUCAUACCGGAUAGGAGCUACUGCUGCGUGGUGGGGGAUGGAAAGUUUCGGUUGUUGGGGCUGUACUAGCGGCUUAUCAGCUUGUUGGUGGGGUAGUGGCUUACCAAGGUUUUGACGGGUAGGCGGCCUUAGAAGGUGGCCAGCCACCAUAGUACUAAGAGACGGACCAGACGCCAACGUGAGGCAGCAGGGGGGAAUAUUGCGCAAUGGGGCGAAGCCUGAUGCAGCAACGCCGCGAUCGGGAUGACGUCCUACGAGUUAUAAACCGCUGUCGCCUUUGACAAAGCGUGAGUGACGGUAAUGAGUAAAAAAGCACCGGCUAACUACGUG